RNAcentral lists this ribosomal RNA (459 nucleotides) under uncultured bacterium. Its description in RNAcentral is "partial 16S ribosomal RNA". It matches the Rfam family "Bacterial small subunit ribosomal RNA", at positions 338 to 795 of the family's 1533-position model. The record is from RNAcentral.
CCUACGGGUGGCUGCAGUGAGGAAUAUUGGUCAAUGGCCGGGAGGCUGAACCAGCCAAGUCGCGUGAGGGAAGACGGCCCUACGGGUUGUAAACCUCUUUUGUCAGGGAGCAAGGUGCAGGUCGGGACCUGCUGUGAGAGUACCUGAAGAAAAAGCAUCGGCUAACUCCGUGCCAGCAGCCGCGGUAAUACGGAGGAUGCGAGCGUUAUCCGGAUUUAUUGGGUUUAAAGGGUGCGCAGGCGGAGGCACAAGUCAGCGGUAAAAUCGCGGGGCUCAACCCCGCUCCGCCGUUGAAACUGUGUCCCUUGAGUGCGCGAAGGGUAGGCGGAAUGCGUGGUGUAGCGGUGAAAUGCAUAGAUAUCACGCAGAACUCCGAUUGUGAAGGCAGCCUGCCAAGCCAUGACUGACGCUGAUGCACGAAAGCGUGGGGAUCAAACAGGAUUAGAUACCCGAGUAGUC